AGUGACUAAGCGCUUGGCUGCUAACCAAAAGGUUGGUGGUUCAAACCCACCAGCCACUC
Molecule: transfer RNA, 59 nt
Filed under: Loxodonta africana (African savanna elephant)
Lineage: Eukaryota; Metazoa; Chordata; Mammalia; Proboscidea; Elephantidae
Rfam family: tRNA
About the family: Transfer RNA (tRNA) molecules are approximately 80 nucleotides in length.
Source: Rfam by way of RNAcentral